UGUCAUUAAUCAAGAUAAUCAAGGGCUAACCUGUUUAUCUGCAUAUUAAACUGGAGUAGAAAAUGGCAUUAUCAGCUGUAGAGAAAGCGCAAAUCGUUGCGGAUUAUGGUCGCGAAGAA
Molecule: regulatory RNA element, 119 nt
Rfam family: Ribosomal S15 leader
About the family: The E. coli Ribosomal S15 gene 5' UTR can form two alternative structures.
Source: Rfam